CCCCCGACACCACGUUCUGUAUCCCCAGGAGACUCUGAUGGCCACAGUCCGGAGCCCGAGCCGCCGAAGGACAGGUGCUGCCCGUCCCCGAAGGGCCCCGGCUGGGGCUGACACUGCAGGACGAGCCCCUGUACCAGACGUACCGCCAGGCCGUGAUCCGCAAGGAGCUGCACCGCCAGACGCUGCCCCGCACCCCCAGCCUCGGCAGCUGGGACGGGACC
This is a long non-coding RNA of Mauremys reevesii (Reeves's turtle), 221 nucleotides long. RefSeq lists it as uncharacterized. NCBI's taxonomy places the organism in Eukaryota, Metazoa, Chordata, Testudines, Geoemydidae. The record is from RefSeq and is a predicted model, not a curated record. The transcript has 3 exons.